This is a long non-coding RNA of Heterocephalus glaber (naked mole-rat), 425 nucleotides long. The record is from Ensembl. NCBI's taxonomy places the organism in Eukaryota, Metazoa, Chordata, Mammalia, Rodentia, Bathyergidae.
GAAAUACAGAGAGCAAAAAGAACCAAUAUAUGUGCACUUAGGAUUACUGGUCUGUCACUUGGUGUACACUUCACUCACAUUCCAUUGUUCAGAGCAAGUCACCUUACCAGAGGCCCCUGCAGUGCAUCCUGAUCUGCUCAGUGCUAUGAUGCAAGUAAAGAAGAUUUUAACCCUGGAAACAGAAUUUGGUACUGGGGGUUGAACUCAGGACUUCGUGCUUGCUGGGCAGGCACAGUGCCACGGAGCUGCAUGCCCGGCUCUUCCUCUCAACUCCUUUUGAGACAGGCGAAGCCAACUGACCCCAAAUGUAGCUUUUGCAGUUACACCUUCAGACGCUGAUGACAUAGGAUCAACUAGAAACAAACACCCUCUCCUCAAUUCGUACUUACCAAAAUGCUAUCCUUCCUUUGAGAUUCACCAAAAAU